GACGAACGCUGGCGGCGUGCCUAAUACAUGCAAGUUGAGCGAUGAAGAUUGGUGCUUGCACCAAUUUGAAGAGCAGCGAACGGGUGAGUAACGCGUGGGGAAUCUGCCUUUGAGCGGGGGACAACAUUUGGAAACGAAUGCUAAUACCGCAUAACAACUUUAAACAUAAGUUUUAAGUUUGAAAGAUGCAAUUGCAUCACUCAAAGAUGAUCCCGCGUUGUAUUAGCUAGUUGGUGAGGUAAAGGCUCACCAAGGCGAUGAUACAUAGCCGACCUGAGAGGGUGAUCGGCCACAUUGGGACUGAGACACGGCCCAAACUCCUACGGGAGGCAGCAGUGGGGAAUCUUCGGCAAAGGACGAAAGUCUGACCGAGCAACGCCGCGGGAGGGAAGAAGGUUUUCGGAUCGUAAAACUCUGUUGGUAGAGAAGAACGUUGGUGAGAGUGGAAAGCUCAUCAAGUGACGGUAACUACCCAGAAAGGGACGGCUAACUACGUG
RNAcentral lists this ribosomal RNA (497 nucleotides) under uncultured bacterium. RNAcentral's name for it is "partial 16S ribosomal RNA". It matches the Rfam family "Bacterial small subunit ribosomal RNA", at positions 28 to 507 of the family's 1533-position model. The record is from RNAcentral.